Molecule: transfer RNA, 76 nt
Filed under: Clostridiales bacterium
Lineage: Bacteria; Bacillati; Bacillota; Clostridia; Eubacteriales
Description: tRNA-Thr
Rfam family: tRNA
About the family: Transfer RNA (tRNA) molecules are approximately 80 nucleotides in length. Their secondary structure includes four short double-helical elements and three loops (D, anti-codon, and T loops).
Source: RNAcentral
GCUACUGUAGCUCAGUUGGUAGAGCAGCUCAUUCGUAAUGAGCAGGUCGCGGGUUCAAGUCCCAUCAGUAGCUCCA